This 561-nucleotide long non-coding RNA is filed under the name Homo sapiens (human). RNAcentral's name for it is "HSALNT0085900". Lineage: Eukaryota; Metazoa; Chordata; Mammalia; Primates; Hominidae. The record is from RNAcentral.
CUUCUGCACUUUUUCUAGCUUCAUGGAAUAUAAGCCUAUAUCAUUAAUUUUUAGCAUUUUCUCUUUUCCAAUAUUGGAAAAAAUCCAUAAUUUUAUAGGAACUGAAUUGUAUCCCCCUGCCCAAAUUCAUAAAGUCCUAAUACCAAUGUACUUGGAAAUGGGGUGGGACCUUUGGGUGUUAAUGAGGUUUAAAUAAGGUUAUGAAGGUGGGCCCCUUAUAAUGUGAAUAGUGCCCUUAUAAGAAGAUACAUCAGAGAACUUGCUUUCUCUCUCUCCCUCAGUCUUGUGAAGACAUAGUGAAAAGACAGCUGUCUGAAAGCCAGAGAAACAGUCCUCAUGGGGCAAUUGAAUCAUCUAACACCUUGAUCUUGGAGUUCUCAUCCUCCAGAACUGAUUUAUUAUCUUGGCAUCUGCUUUGAAAAGGACCCAACCAAAACAAUAUUAUAUCAGCAUAAAAUCUAAGGGUAGGUUUCUUUUAUAUUACAGCCUCAACAAAUUUGUGUAAGAUUGGAAUUUUGUCUUUCUUGAGUAUUUGGUAAAUAUUUUAAAGCAAUAUUUGAU